Molecule: ribosomal RNA, 252 nt
Filed under: uncultured bacterium
Lineage: Bacteria
Description: partial 16S ribosomal RNA
Rfam family: Bacterial small subunit ribosomal RNA
Source: RNAcentral
ACGAAGGGGGCUAGCGUUGCUCGGAAUCACUGGGCGUAAAGGGCGCGUAGGCGGCCAUUCAAGUCGGGGGUGAAAGCCUGUGGCUCAACCACAGAAUUGCCUUCGAUACUGUUUGGCUUGAGUUUGGUAGAGGUUGGUGGAACUGCGAGUGUAGAGGUGAAAUUCGUAGAUAUUCGCAAGAACACCAGUGGCGAAGGCGGCCAACUGGACCAACACUGACGCUGAGGCGCGAAAGCGUGGGGAGCAAACAGG